CUACUGGGGUUUCUAAUCCUGUUUGCUCCCCACGCUUUCGUGCAUGAGUGUCAGUUUUGACCCAGGGGGCUGCCUUUGCCAUCGGUGUUCCUCCACAUAUCUACGCAUUUCACUGCUACACGUGGAAUUCUACCUCCCUCUGCCAAACUCUAGCCUUGCAGUCUCCAUCGCCAUUCCCAGGUUGAGCCCGGGGAUUUCACGACAGACUUACAAAACCGCCUGCGCACGCUUUACGCCCAGUAAUUCCGAUUAACGCUUGCACCCUACGUAUUACCGCGGCUGCUGGCAC
This 289-nucleotide ribosomal RNA is filed under the name uncultured Oxalobacteraceae bacterium. RNAcentral describes it as "partial 16S ribosomal RNA". The record is from RNAcentral. Lineage: Bacteria; Pseudomonadati; Pseudomonadota; Betaproteobacteria; Burkholderiales; Oxalobacteraceae.